This 647-nucleotide ribosomal RNA is filed under the name Haliotrema angelopterum. Its description in RNAcentral is "partial 16S ribosomal RNA". The stretch from base 261 to 417 matches the Rfam family "Archaeal large subunit ribosomal RNA", at positions 1884 to 2089 of the family's 2987-position model. The record is from RNAcentral. Lineage: Eukaryota; Metazoa; Platyhelminthes; Monogenea; Dactylogyridea; Ancyrocephalidae.
UGUGAUAAAUUAGUCGGUGAGGCAGAUAACUAAUUAUUGAUGACAUAAAUAUAAAAAUUAGUGUGGUGUUGAGAUCAUGCUAAGGAUUGAAAGGUGUUUAUAUUAGUUUAAGGGGGGUUUAGAAGUAACCAUUCCUAUUAGAGUGUUACAACUUUGGUCUUUAUCUUAUUACCUUCUUGUAGUAGUCAAUGAUUUAAAAUUAGCAGAAAAAGCAAAAUGUUAUAAUGAGUAGUUAAUUAUUUUUCUAUAGUUCUCGCUAUAACUCGAAAUGUUUAUUAAAAACAUUUCCACCCCUAUAUAUGGGUGGUAUGACCUGCUCAGUGUUUAUUAUAAAUAGCCGCAGUAUUUUGACUGUGCUAAGGUAGCAUAAUUAAUUGUCCUCUAAAUAGGGAAUUGUUUGAAUGGUUCAUUUGGGUUAGAAGGAAUAGAGUAAAAAUUUUAUGAAAUUAGUAAAGGGGUAAAGAACCCCCUUAUUACACAAUAGACGGAAAGACCCCGAGAGCUUAUUUUAAAAUUUGUUUGGGGCAAAAGCUUGGCUUCACAAGCAUUUUGAACCCCGUUAGGGUUUAUUGGUUAAGUUACCUCGGGGAUAACAGGGUUAGAAGUAAGGAGAGUUCUUAUCGAGCUUCUUAAUUGCUUCCUCGAUG